This is a long non-coding RNA of Pseudophryne corroboree (corroboree frog), 760 nucleotides long. RefSeq lists it as uncharacterized. The record is from RefSeq and is a predicted model, not a curated record. Lineage: Eukaryota; Metazoa; Chordata; Amphibia; Anura; Myobatrachidae. The transcript is spliced from 3 exons.
GUGACCGGAUGUGCAUAAUCGAGCACUCCGGCCCGUCGUGACUCGCGUCAUCGCCCUCUUUCAAUUUUCCUUGCAGCAUGGCAGCAACAAAGGUCAAAAUCAUGCAGAGUAAUCUUUUUAUAGCUCCUGAUGAUGGCGCAGGUGCUUCAAUUAGCGAGCUGUCUGUCAAGUGACAAUGGGGAAUUCCAACCGACCUUCUGUCCAACAAUUUUCAUAAAGAAUCCACACAAGAAGAAAUGUUAGUAGUGCCAUGACCAUGUUUGUUCAACGCACCGUGGCCUCCUCAGGGUUCUCACAUCCUAAACUAAUAAGAGUUCACAAGACGGUGAUGCUGUAAGCACAGUUGGUGCCGCCAUCUGACUGGUACAUGGAGGAUCACUAAUUAAGCUGAUUUCUACGAAGGUGCAGAACUGCUGUAAGAGAUUUUAGAUGCAGUAGAUUCAGCUGUCAUCUGUCCGACCUGUCCCCUGUAGGCGCUUCAGCUGUCAAGCUCUGCAGACCCACGGAAUCAAUGAAAAGGUGUUGAUGCAUGUCGUUCUGUCUCUGCAAAUGGCAGCGUUGUUGUGUAUGUGCUGCAAGUGUUGUUUGCACAUAGGGACAGCUAAGAGCCAUGCUUUAUGCUGAAAGAAAAAUUAAACAAGGUCAGAUAUAUUGUUAAUAUACAAUGGGCUUGAUCUAGGGCAGUGGUCUCCAACCUUAAUUGGGUGUGAGCUACUCGAGAAAAAUGAAACCACCUAAAGAGCUAAAUGUGUUAGGAAGA